RNAcentral lists this ribosomal RNA (925 nucleotides) under uncultured bacterium. RNAcentral describes it as "bacterial SSU rRNA". It matches the Rfam family "Bacterial small subunit ribosomal RNA", at positions 51 to 966 of the family's 1533-position model. The record is from RNAcentral.
ACACAUGCAAGUCGAGGGGCAGCAUUUUUGAAGCUUGCUUCAAAAGAUGGCGACCGGCGCACGGGUGAGUAACGCGUAUGGAACCAACCCGCAACAGGGGGAUAACCCGGAGAAAUCCGGACUAAUACCGCAUGGUACUCUUUGCACAGAAGUGUGAAGAUUUAAAGAUGCGAAUCGGUUGCGGACGGUCAUGCGUUCCAUUAGCUAGUUGGCGGGGUAACGGCCCACCAAGGCGACGAUGGAUAGGGGUUCUGAGAGGAAGGUCCCCCACACUGGUACUGAGACACGGACCAGACUCCUACGGGAGGCAGCAGUGAGGAAUAUUGGUCAAUGGGCGAGAGCCUGAACCAGCCAAGUCGCGUGAGGGAAGACGGCCCUAUGGGUUGUAAACCUCUUUUAGAUGGGAGUAAAGUGUUCUACGAGUAGGAUAUUGCAAGUACCAUCAGAAUAAGCAUCGGCUAAUUCCGUGCCAGCAGCCGCGGUAAUACGGAAGAUGCGAGCGUUAUCCGGAUUUAUUGGGUUUAAAGGGUGCGUAGGCGGGUGAUUAAGUCAGCGGUGAAAUGCGUCAGCUUAACUGGCGAACUGCCAUUGAAACUGGUUACCUUGAGUGUAGCGGAAGUAUGCGGAAUGCGUGGUGUAGCGGUGAAAUGCAUAGAUAUCACGCAGAACUCCGAUUGCGAAGGCAGCAUACCAUACUAUAACUGACGCUGAAGCACGAAAGCGUGGGUAUCGAACAGGAUUAGAUACCCUGGUAGUCCACGCAGUAAACGAUGAAUACUCACCGUUUGCGAUAUAAUGUAAGCGGUAAAGCGAAAGCGUUAAGUAUUCCACCUGGGGAGUACGCCGGCAACGGUGAAACUCAAAGGAAUUGACGGGGGCCCGCACAAGCGGAGGAACAUGUGGUUUAAUUCGAUGAUACGCGAGG